UCCAAUCCAAAGCUUCCGCGUGGCUUNCGUCAGGCAUUGUCUGUCACGCUACAUCUUCAGAUUUCUCACACCACAGACUUCAUUCAUCAUCUUCUCAUUCGAAGAAGCCUCUCCGCUAGGGUUUCUCACAACUUCAACACAGAGUNCCAUCUCCANCCAAUGAAUCACGAUCUUUCAACCGGUAAAACUGUUUCUCUUGCCUAGAUCUACCUUAUCCUCACCAUUUCCGUCCCAACCAUCGGUUGAUCUCCGGUUUCC
Molecule: long non-coding RNA, 258 nt
Filed under: Vigna radiata
Lineage: Eukaryota; Viridiplantae; Streptophyta; Magnoliopsida; Fabales; Fabaceae
Description: long non-coding RNA (VRAD_LNC014917)
Source: RNAcentral